RNAcentral lists this long non-coding RNA (234 nucleotides) under Lathyrus oleraceus (garden pea). RNAcentral's name for it is "Pisum sativum (pea) long non-coding RNA (PSAT_LNC037610)". Lineage: Eukaryota; Viridiplantae; Streptophyta; Magnoliopsida; Fabales; Fabaceae. The record is from RNAcentral.
CAUCAUGACCAGGAGCACCCGAGUGAUACACACAAUGCUGUUCAGGCCUAUACCACCACCGAGGGUUGACGGGUAUGGGCGGCGGGUCUCUAGGAGUGAUCAAGUUCCGCUCUAUCAGAGUGGGAUACAGUUCGGCGUAGGACAUGGGGAUUGGAUCAAAAAUGAUCUUCUUCCUCUCAUUACUUGUACCAGCUUGAUUGUCAAUGGGAGGCUGAUAAGCCUGCUGCUGAGGAU